CCGCGUGGGUGAUGAAGGUCUCCGGAUUGUAAAGCCCUGUUUUCUGGGACGAUAAUGACGGUACCAGAGGAGGAAGCCACGGCUAACUACGUGCCAGCAGCCGCGGUAAUACGUAGGUGGCGAGCGUUGUCCGGAUUUACUGGGCGUAAAGGGUGCGUAGGCGGAUGUUUAAGUGGGAUGUGAAAUCCCCGGGCUUAACCUGGGGGCUGCAUUCCAAACUGGAUAUCUAGAGUGCAGGAGAGGAAAGCGGAAUUCCUAGUGUAGCGGUGAAAUGCGUAGAGAUUAGGAAGAACACCAGUGGCGAAGGCGGCUUUCUGGACUGUAACUGACGCUGAGGCACGAAAGCGUGGGUAGCAAACAGGAUUAGAUACCCUGGUAGUC
This 381-nucleotide ribosomal RNA is filed under the name uncultured Clostridium sp. Its description in RNAcentral is "bacterial SSU rRNA". It matches the Rfam family "Bacterial small subunit ribosomal RNA", at positions 397 to 795 of the family's 1533-position model. Lineage: Bacteria; Bacillati; Bacillota; Clostridia; Eubacteriales; Clostridiaceae. The record is from RNAcentral.